AAUCAUUAUAUUGAAAUUGUUUAAAAUACUAUUCGUCUGUUUUAUAAGAAAUAACUAUUUUUACAUAAAAAUAGUUCAAUUAAAAUUUAUAAAUUCUGAAUGGCCUUAAUUACUUUUAGAAGUUCUUGCGUGAGUGUGUUUUCUACAGAAAGAUGUGUUAAGUUUGUUAAUUAUUACUAAUAUCGUAAUCGCACAGGUUUAAAAAUGAUGAAGUCUGUUUUACAUUCAUGGAGAAAAUUUUCUAUCUACAGAAAUAAUUAUCAAUUUGUAAUGAAAUGGAUAUAUAGAAAAAAAUCAUGCUGGAAUUAUAACAACAAAAUAUUUCAUGUUUCUGAUGAAGUUAAGGAAAGCCUAAUUAAAAAUCAUCCAGUUAUAGCUUUGGAGAGUACAAUUAUUACACAUGGAAUGCCUUUUCCAGAAAAUAUAAG
Long non-coding RNA from Centruroides sculpturatus (bark scorpion), 428 nucleotides. RefSeq lists it as uncharacterized. The record is from RefSeq and is a predicted model, not a curated record. Lineage: Eukaryota; Metazoa; Arthropoda; Arachnida; Scorpiones; Buthidae. The transcript is spliced from 3 exons.